This 1725-nucleotide long non-coding RNA is filed under the name Homo sapiens (human). RNAcentral describes it as "HSALNT0309280". The record is from RNAcentral. Lineage: Eukaryota; Metazoa; Chordata; Mammalia; Primates; Hominidae.
UUAAACCAUAGAUUAUGAGUCAACCAGGGUUGGCCCAAGAUAAAUAUCUGAUGUGUGGUUAGUCAUAUGGUGAGUCAGUGUUCUAAUCAGUGGUAGAGUUAAUCAGUCGGGGUUACUCACCAUGCCUAACUUUCAUGCACUCCUUCCAGAGGGAAAAUACAUGCAUUCUUUUGGCAUAUUUGGUUUUGCAUGUACAUCAUUAUGUUUCUCCUCCCACUACCACAAGAAAAAGAUAUUAAUUGUAGUAAAAAAUAAAGUUAUAAACUUCUGGCAAGCUAAAACUGAGAACAGGUUAUCAAAGGGAUGUGUGCCUGUUCACUUUUAGAAGUGUAUUAGGUCUUUCAUAGCUGAGAAAGGACAGAAAUAGGGAGAUAAAGUCGUUCACCUCAGAUCACAAGCUAAAUUGGUGGUAAAGGCUGGACUAGAAUCUAGAUGUAAUGGGUAACUUUCACCCACAUUAUGUCAGUCCCAUUUAGACUUCCUUGGUUGACUAGUAUUGAUGUAACCAAAAAGACAUCUACUCAAAAUUCAAUAUUCUAAUGGUAGUUAUUGAGAACUUACUAUCUGUCUGGUCCUGUUUAAAGAGUAGGACAUAUAGCAGUGAAUCAGGCACUUUUUUUUUUUUUUUAUCAAGAACUUUCUGGCAAAGAUAUAUAUUUUGUUCCUGCGAGAGGCCAUUUGUUGCAUAUCAACAGCCAGAUAAGCCUUAAACAAACAGGUAAGGCAGCUGAAGUUUGAAGAAGUUAAAUAACUUAUCAAAAGUUUGGACAGAACCUACAAUCAAAACCACGUCCUUUUGAUGCCGAAGUUCAUUUUCUUCCAUGCUACACAGUCUUACAUCAAGACAGCGUGUUGGCUGAUAUCAGACAGAGAAGACUAAAAUCCACAAGGGGAAAUUUAUGGAGGUUUCUGUACAAAAAAAAGAAGAGGAAGAGCAAGGAGGAAAAGGAGGAGAACAGAAAAGAGAGGAAGGAGGAGUAGAAGGAGAGAAAUGACCAUUCUACCUAAAUAAACAACUCUAUCUAAAUCAUGCAUCAGCAGGAGGAUAUUUAUGGCCUCAGCACAUUUCUUUUACUGCAUGCUAGAGACACUUGGCUUUUCCCUCGCAAAUUCAAAUGUCAGUGGAAUGGCUAACUCAUGUGAACAGGCUUUUUUCCCAGGGAGGAGCCAGCCACACAAUAAAAUUUAAAUGGAAAAAAAGCUUCCUGAUGUUUCUCUGCGGUACUUUGAAUCAUGCCAACUGCUAGACCAGAUUAAUUACACAAUUGUAAGAGCAGGAAAUAAACUAAUUGAGGAUAUUAUCCUCCUCUUUCUUUUCGAGAAAUACUGUUUUGUCUUGAUAUGAGUCCUCUCUUUCACCUUGACUUGUUUUGUUAACUCAACCACUUCUCAAACUUUUCAAGAGGGGACUGUGUAUGACUUGAACCUAAGUUUUUCCCAAAUGAGAAGCAGCAAUUACUUUAGUGCUUGCUUCCUCAGUAAUGGAAUUCUUGAUUGCUUUUGAAAGCAUUCUAGCAUAUAAAAGGGGGGGUCUUUCUGCCAAAAGUAAAAUUCUAAUUCAAGACAGGUAAAAUGGGUAGGGCCUGGUUCAACAGAUUAAAUCCAUAUUUUCAUACUUUAAAUCAAUCCCUCCUUAUCUGUCAGCCAUUGUUCAGGGGAACACAGACUUUAGAAGUGCAAAUUUUUCCAGCCUAACUCUAUUAUAAUAAUGUAUGUAUUCAAAUA